Molecule: long non-coding RNA, 776 nt
Organism: Gavialis gangeticus (Gharial)
Lineage: Eukaryota; Metazoa; Chordata; Crocodylia; Gavialidae
Exons: 3
Source: RefSeq, a predicted model, not a curated record
GUCAAAAGGCCCACAGAGAAAAAAAGCAGAGCAGCACAUGCACAGGCAGCACACGCUGCUCAAAGGAGGAGCCGGGUUACCUGGAACCACACUGCAGCUGCCAGCCAGGCUUCUUGCAGCAGAAUUGCCACUACUGCAGCCCUGGGAGGCCCCCAGGACCACAGGCACAAAAUCUGACCUAUCUGGGGAAAUGAAGGCUCAGAGGCAUGAGGUGACUCAGCCAAUUGCCCUGCAGGAGUCGGUGACAGAGGCAGAACUAGAGUUCAUGAGUUCCUGACUGCCACCACCACUUGAAACUGCUAGACCUUGCCCCUCCAGCAAUCCAAGUGAAACCUUUUAGGAGAAGCUGAGAUAUUUAACUCCCUCAUGUACCCCACCUCAGCUGAGAGCUACGUGAUUUCUCCUCACCUCUGUACAUGUGGCUAGAAUGGGAAGGUAAACUAACUAGAAAGCAAAAAGCCAUGAGAAGGCCUGGAAGCAUAACAAGAGAAGCCUGAUUCUGAAAACUGUACAGAAGAUGCAACAGAUGCAAUAACAUUCAGAGAUGUGCCAGCUUCUGAGGUACAGAUCCCAACCUGACCUUUGAAUCCUACUAUUAAGGGCAUGAUGCCCAACUUGACAAGACUGUCAAUGCACAGACUUCCAGUGCGUAGUACUUGUUUCAUUUCUAAAUAGAGCCAUAAGGAACUGGGAGUCCACAGGCAGAACAUUUAAAAAAUAAACCUAUAGAGAAAGUUUUUUACAAGAUGCUUCUACUGUACAAGAAUUCGGUUUUU